RNAcentral lists this small nuclear RNA (264 nucleotides) under Sus scrofa (pig). Its description in RNAcentral is "7SK RNA". It matches the Rfam family "7SK RNA", at positions 1 to 277 of the family's 331-position model. Rfam says of the family: 7SK was discovered as an abundant small nuclear RNA in the mid-70s but a possible function has only recently been suggested. Two independent studies have found that 7SK RNA binds the CDK9/cyclin T complex (known as elongation factor P-TEFb). P-TEFb activates transcription by phosphorylating the C-terminal domain of RNA polymerase II. Lineage: Eukaryota; Metazoa; Chordata; Mammalia; Artiodactyla; Suidae. The record is from Rfam by way of RNAcentral.
GGAUGUGGGGGCGAUCUGGCGGCGACGUCUGUCACCCCAUUGAUGGCAAGGGGUGAUUCGGCAGAUCUGGCUGACUGGGUGGGAGGUGCCUCCCUCCCUGUGCACACAUGGAUGUUGCACGUGCAUCCCUCCUGAAGCUGUGCUCUCGGUCAAAGAGGACAACCAUCCCCAGGAGAAGAGGACUUUCUUCGGCCAAGGGCACACUAGUAGCUGCGCUGGGAAUUCCCGUUGUGACUCAGCAGGUUAGGAACCCGAAGAGUAUCC